This 572-nucleotide ribosomal RNA is filed under the name Yamadazyma mexicana. RNAcentral describes it as "eukaryotic LSU rRNA". The stretch from base 222 to 375 matches the Rfam family "5.8S ribosomal RNA". Lineage: Eukaryota; Fungi; Ascomycota; Pichiomycetes; Serinales; Debaryomycetaceae. The record is from RNAcentral.
AACCUGCGGAAGGAUCAUUACAGUUAUUACUUUCUACCAGCGCUUAAUUGCGCGGUGGAAAAUAACCCAUACACACAGUGUUUUUUGUUUAUUACAAGAACUAUUGCUUUGGCUUGGCGCAAGUCGGGCCAGAGGUUACUACGUAAACUUCAAUUUUUAAUUGAAUUGUUAUUUUAAUACAGUUGUCAAUUUGUUUGAUUAAAUUCAAAAAUAAUCUUCAAAACUUUCAACAACGGAUCUCUUGGUUCUCGCAUCGAUGAAGAACGCAGCGAAAUGCGAUAAGUAAUAUGAAUUGCAGAUUUUCGUGAAUCAUCGAAUCUUUGAACGCACAUUGCGCCCUUUGGUAUUCCAAAGGGCAUGCCUGUUUGAGCGUCAUUUCUCUCUCAAACCCUUGGGUUUGGUAUUGAGUGAUACUCUUAGUCGGACUAGGCGUUUGCUUGAAAAGUAUUGGCAAGAGUGUACUAGAUAGUACUACCUGUUAUUCAAUGUAUUAGGUUUAUCCAACUCGUUGAACGACUGGGCGUAAGUUUCUGGUAAUUGGCUCGGCCUUACAACAACAAACAAGUUGACCU